AAAUCUCUCAAGCUUAGGUUUUUACCUAUUGCUUGGUCUUGGAGAUGGAAGCCAAUUCAUUGGAAUCCUCUUCGAAAUUCAAUGGCGAAGACCCUUGCUCUCCCAAGUGUAGUAAUAACUUAUAUCACUGAAGGAAGCGAGAAAUCUUCCGCCGAAACCCCCAUAUUUUUCUAU
Molecule: unclassified non-coding RNA, 174 nt
Filed under: uncultured Pyronemataceae
Lineage: Eukaryota; Fungi; Ascomycota; Pezizomycetes; Pezizales; Pyronemataceae
Description: sequence contains ITS2
Source: RNAcentral